UUUUACAAGGCAGUGCGCAGACAAUUCAGCAGGCAAACAAGCAAGCCAGAAAAACGUUUAAAGGCAACUUGACACGCCGGCAAAUAAAAUCUAAACUUUUAAAGAAAACCCUCAUCUUUUCCUCUCCCGUCCCCCCGUCCACCCGGCCAAUCCACUGACUGCUGCAGAGGGGUCGAAGAAGCUAAAAACGAAUACGAAUACGAAUACGAAAAGCACAUUUACCAAACGAAAAGCGAAGAAAAACCCAAUGAAACGGCCGGGGGAUGGAGCGCCAAGAAAAAGAAUCACUCAUACGCACCCACGCACACGAGGAUUGGCGCCCGACGUUUGACGCCGCAUGGCAAAAGCGCUUAGAAAAGAAAUAGCAUAUAGUGAAAAAAAAAACACCAGAGUACAAAAAUACUCGGUGCCCAGACCAACCAGGACUUACCAAAAGGCAGCCGCUCGUAGGAGUGGCGGCAGGAGCAUCCUGCAGACGACAACGGUGCCAAGGAGACGACGGGCGGGAACCAGGCGGCGUUGGCAGCAGGAAUUCUCCAAAAGAACGAACUUUGGCCAACUUGUAAUAAGCUGCACUCAAGAAUAUUUCCUACAUAUUGACAACUUCGUAGUGUAAACUUUUCAAUGGUCACUUAUGAGCUUUUCCCCGAAAACCGAUGCUUGACAAGUUGCCUCUUUUGAGAUCGGCCACAAAGGCACUUCAAAUGGAGGCUCACACAAAAUAGAAGAGCCACACUCAGCAUGCGGUCAGCAAAAAACAAGAAAGUAAAACAAAAGCACCCAGAAAGCAGUUUGAGCAGAAAUUGCCCAUAACGAGCACUUGACCAGGGACAAAAUGUGAGAUGCCAGAGUUCAGAGGAAUUUCACAUCUUUUGUAUACCUUUUUAUUUCGAGGGCAUGAGUGUGUGUAGCCCGAUAGCCGUGUUCUUGUGGCGAAUAAAUUUAAAGUGCUCGAAGAAAAAAGUGAAAAUAGCGUUGCACUUAAAGACCGCACAUUUGUCUCAAUGA
Long non-coding RNA from Drosophila teissieri, 1008 nucleotides. RefSeq lists it as uncharacterized. The record is from RefSeq and is a predicted model, not a curated record. NCBI's taxonomy places the organism in Eukaryota, Metazoa, Arthropoda, Insecta, Diptera, Drosophilidae. The transcript has 3 exons.